GUCUUAACAAAAUUUAAAAAAAAAUGCAGCUUAUCAGAAGUGUUGAACAUGCUAAACUGAUAUUUUGUUUGUGCAAUAGAUCUGAGGAGUACAGUGAACUGUUUGAUAACAGCAAUAUGCAAUGUGUCUUUGAAUAUCAAAGUUCCUGUAGUGACUAGUUAGAAAAUGUCUCUUUUUUAACUUACCAGAACCAGAAUUUGAUCAUUUGGAAAUAAUCAAAUACAAAUGGAUGCUGUUCUUCGCU
This 244-nucleotide long non-coding RNA is filed under the name Mytilus galloprovincialis (Mediterranean mussel). Lineage: Eukaryota; Metazoa; Mollusca; Bivalvia; Mytilida; Mytilidae. The record is from RNAcentral.